Molecule: long non-coding RNA, 957 nt
Organism: Metopolophium dirhodum (rose-grain aphid)
Lineage: Eukaryota; Metazoa; Arthropoda; Insecta; Hemiptera; Aphididae
Exons: 4
Source: RefSeq, a predicted model, not a curated record
UCUGGACAUUUUAUUAAGCUACGAAUUUAUUUAGUUAUUUUGUUAUUAAGGUAAUACAUAUUAAUUAAUAGGUAUUUCUUAAAAUUUUUUUAUUAUUUUGUUCGAAACAUUAUUUUUAAAUAUUGGGAUCAAUAAAACUAUUUUUAUUCAAUUACUAUUUUAUAUCAAUUAGAAUUUGUUAAUAAACCAAGUAAUAAAUGAAUGGUUACCAAGUAAAAAAACCGUUAUCUACAUUAUAAGUUUGAAUUCAAUUUUCCGCAUUUGCAUCUAGUAGAAACAAAUAAAUGUUUUUUUGAAGACAAUGUAAAAAUAUCCAUCAUCCAUCGGUUAGGACCAUAUUAUAUAUAUUUUCUAUGAUUAGGACGGUGAGGUUAUAAUUAUAAAUAAUCUAUGGCAAAUGACAAUCGUCUGAGACGAACAGCGAUUUCAAUACGUACUCACAUAUUUCGUUCCAUUCUGGUUAUUGAACUAUUUGAACUAGGUGCCUAUUGGCUAUUUUUAUAAAUGCCAUUAAUCUCAAUACUUCCAGACUGAACUUUUGGAUCAGAUAUAUGAAGACGCGCGCUGCAUUUUCCUUGGCGGAGAUGCACAGCUCUGACACUAGACAAUAUUAUAUACACUCGAAGGGAACGCGUUUCGCCGGAAGAAUAAAUAAUUACUGAACAAAAAAAUAAUAUGCCACCAAUAUAAACGGACAGUUUGUUAAACCGUACAUAUUAUAAUUUUCAGCUCAUCGGAGUGAGAUGAUUAGAUAAAGAUGGAUGAAGAUAGCUGUUUCUUCGGCGAUGGCGGCACUCUAGCUACGUUUCACCGGAAGAGUAGAUGUUUACGAAGAUGGUAUUCGUCAUUGAACAUUUGCCAACUGGGGUCUGGAAAUAAUAUAUCAUAUUAAGCAGAGGGAAAUGAGCAGUUAGCGGUGCAGAGUUUCAAAGACUAAGUUUUAUAGCAGAUUUCGAU